AUUGAACGCUGGCGGCAUGCUUUACACAUGCAAGUCGAACGGUAACAGGCCUUCGGGUGCUGACGAGUGGCGAACGGGUGAGUAAUGCAUCGGAACGUACCCAGAGGUGGGGGAUAACGCAGCGAAAGCUGUGCUAAUACCGCAUGUGAUCUGAGGAUGAAAGCGGGGGACCGAGCAGCAAUGUUUGGCCUCGCGCCUUUGGAGCGGCCGAUGUCGGAUUAGCUAGUUGGUGGGGUAAAGGCCUACCAAGGCGACGAUCCGUAGCUGGUCUGAGAGGACGACCCGCCACACUGGGACUGGGCCACGGCCCAGACUCCUACGGGAGGCCGCAGUGGGGAAUUUUGGACAAUGGGCGCAAGCCUGAUCCAGCAAUGCCGCGUGCGGGAAGAAGGCCUUCGGGUUGUAAACCGCUUUUGGCAGGAACGAAACGGUGUCCGCUAAUACCGGGCGCUAAUGACGGUACCUGCAGAAUAAGCACCGGCUAACUACGUG
RNAcentral lists this ribosomal RNA (492 nucleotides) under uncultured bacterium. RNAcentral's name for it is "partial 16S ribosomal RNA". It matches the Rfam family "Bacterial small subunit ribosomal RNA", at positions 29 to 507 of the family's 1533-position model. The record is from RNAcentral.